Long non-coding RNA from Suricata suricatta (meerkat), 384 nucleotides. RefSeq lists it as uncharacterized. The transcript is spliced from 2 exons. The record is from RefSeq and is a predicted model, not a curated record. NCBI's taxonomy places the organism in Eukaryota, Metazoa, Chordata, Mammalia, Carnivora, Herpestidae.
CGAAUCUAAUUUUAUACCAACUACUACUACCACCUCCACUGCGACUACCACGCCUACUAGCCCACUGUCUUAAGCACUUAAGUGGUGGGAAACCAAGGCAGGAAAGGGAGGAGGAUCUUGCCCAGGGUAAGAGUUGGUGGAAGAACAGUGCCUGGAAAAUGACAUGCAGAUUAUCAGAGGCCGUGUCGCUGCUACUGAUCUUAGAUGCUGACGCAAAUACUUAAAAGACAGUGAAGAAGGACAUCGCCUAGCAUCUCUGCAUCAAGACCUGUAGAUCAAAGGAGGCAGAAAUCCCUCAUCAAGUCAGGGAUUUUUUUCCCAUUUGUUCCUCUUCUCGUACACUGCCUUAUGAGUUUUUAUAAAAAUAAAACAAUUGAAAACAUU